Long non-coding RNA from Carassius carassius (crucian carp), 1236 nucleotides. RefSeq lists it as uncharacterized. NCBI's taxonomy places the organism in Eukaryota, Metazoa, Chordata, Actinopteri, Cypriniformes, Cyprinidae. The transcript has 2 exons. The record is from RefSeq and is a predicted model, not a curated record.
CACCAGUGCUUAGCAACUCGGUCCAAGAAGCAUUUGCAUUCUUCCAAGAUAUAGAUUACAGGAUUUUUUUUUUUAUUGGUCCCCAAUGACACUACAAAUUGAAUAAUAGUUUAGUGCUUACCUGAGGUUACUCAUGCCCUCCAUAAGUGGAGGAAUGUCUCGUAGUUUAUUUUUGCUCAGAACUAGCGUGUCCAGACUUUGCAUGCGACUGAUAUUGUCUGGCAGGUACUCUAGUUCAUUUCUUGGGAGCCACAAGGUGUGAAGUUUCUCCAUUCUAAAUUGGGAUGUAAAGUUCAUACAAAAUCUUGUUUCAUUUAGUACUACGUUGACAGAAAAUAAUGAGCUGAUGUUGUUUGUUUGUUAUUUAGUAUUUUACCUGUGAAUAUCUUCUGGCAAACUUUCCAACCUGUUGCUGCCCAUGUCUAGCCACUCUAGAGAAGGAAGGUUGACCACACAAUCUGGGAUGGUGGUGAACUGGUUCAUGGAGAGGUCCAAGUGAUACAGCUUCUUUAGAUUGCUAAGCUAAGGAAAUAAGAUUAAAGUAAGCACAGGCAUUAGGUAUAUAGAGAGUUUUAACGACCAAACAUGUUGUGUAUACAUAUGUGUUCAAUGAUAUUGAUACCUGAGUAGGCAACUCAUCCAGAUUUUCGUUCAAUGAAAGUUCCAGUUUCUCCAGAUUUUCACAGCAACCAAGUUCUUCUGGUACGUAGCUUACUCUAUUAUAGCUCAAAAACAGCUCUCUUAACCGAGUUAGUUUGCCUGUUAGUUAUAAGAGCAUAUCUGAGAGUUACUUUGGCUAAAGAAAGUCAAAGUUUGUACAAAUGACACCAGUUUUUGUACUGACCGAUUUCUUUGGGAAUUUCUGUGACUGAAUUGCGAGACAGGUCCAAGACUAUGAGACUCUCAAAGCUUGAGAUGAACCGUGGGAUUGUUUUAAGUCCUAUUCGGUGUAACUGCCAUUCUUGGAUCUGGGAGAGUUGAACUAGAGCUGGAGGAAGAGUCUGCGAAAAGAGUGCAAAGAAUGAAAACCACACACUCGAUAGGAAAAAAAAAAAUCAUUAAAGCCAGUAGGCUGCUAUAUCUGCAAUACACGAGCAUUGUUUUCUAGCUCUUUUUCUUUUAGAAGUCUGGGGUGUCCAAUCCUGUUUCUGGAGGGCCACCUUUCUGUGGAGUUCAGCUUCUACCUCCAUUAAGCACACUUACCAUGCGUACCAUUCGGAAGGGCUCAUCCCUAUG